GGCGUCCUUAUCCUAGUCUUGCCUCUAAUGAGGCUGCUUCAGAAGUUCUACCAUUCAAGUGUGAUGUAAACUACUCUUUAACAAAAUCAGGUAUUCCUCUUUCAUUCCUAGUUUGAUCAUUUUAAGUCAUGAAUGGGUGAAUUUUAUAAAUUGAUUUUUCCUUUUGCAUCUAUUGAGAUGAUCCUAAGUACGGACACAGAUUUUUGAGUGUUAGACCAUUUUUAGUUCCUGGGGUAAACUGAAUUCAGUUGUGGUACGUUUGGAUACACACAUACGAGUGAGACUGGUCUAUAGAUUUUUCUUUCUUAUGCUGUUCUUGUCUCUAGUUUCAACUUCUUUUUGGUUUUGAUGAAUCUGGGUGUCAAGUUAGAAAUAAGCUUUACUUCCUGGGAGGUGAAGAGGAUUUUCAGGAUCAAGGGGCAACAGCUGUAUUCUGGGAUUCUGGGGGGUUUCCAUCCUGGGCUGAGUGGAGUGAGCCAGAAACAGUCUUAAGGAUGCAUCGCUUCCCACUAUAGAGGAGAACUUUGAAAUUCUUUCCAGAAGGAAAAAUAAAGGAGUGAUACCGUGUGUAGGUCAUCUAGGCUGCUAAGAGCUAGCAGACUACCCUGAACCCAGUGCCAGGGCUCCAGACAUCAGAGCCUGGCAGUAUACGGAGACUGCAGACCAAGGCACAGCAGUUCUGGAAGUGAGGAGCCAAGACCCACAUUGCGAGGCGGCCCUUUGCAGUGGGAAGCACCUUCCAGGCUAUGGAUGCUGGCGCAGGAGCAGUGCCUCCCCUCCUGGGCACGUCCUUCUGGUCUCCCUAUUUUAUCCCCAGCUUUAAGAGAAACUUUGCAUCAGUGGCUGCUUCACUUCUUGGCACAAAUUAGGUAGUCAUUAUUCUUGUUCCUUUUGGAGCUGUUUAUUCCUGGUGUUGGGCACUGCUCCUAAGGAAACGCCUUCAAAACCAAAGUAAAUUGAUCUAAACUAAAUGAAACACCUAGGGACACUGAGUUGAGGCAGACUCGGGUUACCUCGGUUUUCAUUAUUAGCCACGGUUUUUUCAUGAUUCUCUUGGCUUUUAGACCUCAAGUUCCUUUACCUACUAGUAGAGAUUCUAAAUAAUCUCGAAGUUUCAUGCUGGCUUAAAAAAAAAUGGUGCCAUAAUUUUGUGGUGCUUCUCCGACCUUGUAAUUAUUUCCUAAUCAGAAACACAUGGAUGGCUUUUACUGCUUUUAAGAGCCAGGGGCUUGGAGUAUAGAAACCUGGGUUCAUGGCUCAGCUCCUUCACUUAGGGCUGUGUGACCAUGGGUUAGUUACCUAAUCUCUCAGCCUCAUUUGCCUCCUCUGGGAAACAGGGAUAAAGCACUUUAUCUUAUAUGGUUAUGGUGAGGAUAAAAUGAGAUAAAAGUACCAAAAGAAAAAAAAAAAGCACCUUGUAAAGUGAUCUGCUUCAGAAGUCUGAGUCGGCCUGUUGGGCAGAUUUUGAGACCGUCUGGCUCUGAGGGUGUUCACCCAGGCCUGGGAUCCGCAGGAGGUCCUGGGCAGGGAGAGACAUCACACACCACCGCUGGGAGAAGAAAAACCGACACAGGAGGCCCAGAGCACAGACCCUCAGGGGCCAGCCGGGCCUGCAGUCCCGGCCUCGCUGCAAGGAGGUCAGGAACGACAGAAACAAUCCCAAGAUCACCGAGUCACAGGAAAUGAGCAGUAGAGACUGAAAGGUCAGCCUUGUUAUUUCCUGAUGCGGGAGGAAGUCAAAGCCUAGAAGCCAGCGGGUUCCUGGCUGCCUCACGCCGGUACAGGAGGACUGUGGUGAAGCCAGUAUUCUCAUUCUUGACCCGUUGGGCUCUCACUCACCGGCUGCUGUGGCUGAGCCUGGGCUGCUUGUGCGGCACAGGAGCUGCUGAUCUCCUUCCAGACUCUCUCGGUCAGGGCCCACCCAAGGUUGACUGGGCGGCAGAGCUUUAUGUGUUGAAUGGCGGUUGGCUUUCCCUGGGAGCAGGUGUGGUGGAAAGAGCUUGGGAGGGAGGUCCAGCCCUAGUCCUGGCUUUCUGCUUAUCACUUAUCACCAACCCUGGUGACUCACAGAUGCAGAGAGAGUGAGGGUGGGACAUGGACCCUGAGAGAUUAUCCAGGCCCCCUCCUUGGUUUAAGGGAAAGGAAUCUACGGCCCAGAGAAGUGAUGUUCUCUAGAGUCUGGGGCCUAAUCAAAGACAGAACUGGUAACUGAAUCCAUAUCUUUCAAAUCUGAAACUCAGUCUCCUCAAUGAGGCUAUUCCAGGGUUUCUGAAAUAAUAAUGGACACACGAAGCACUUGAAGAUCCUGUUAAGGCACAGGUAGGCCUGGGAGGAGACCCCAGAUUCUGCCCAGAUUUCUAACAAGUCCCAGGUGGAUUUUAAUCCUAAAGGAAAUCAACCCUGAAUAUUCAUUGAAAGGAAUGAAGUUCCAAUAAUUUGGCCACCUGAUUCGAAGAUCCGACUCAUUAGAAAAGACCCUGAUGCUGGGAAAGAUUGAAGGUAGGAG
Bubalus bubalis (water buffalo) is the source of this 2506-nucleotide long non-coding RNA. RefSeq lists it as uncharacterized. NCBI's taxonomy places the organism in Eukaryota, Metazoa, Chordata, Mammalia, Artiodactyla, Bovidae. The record is from RefSeq and is a predicted model, not a curated record. The transcript has 3 exons.